This 727-nucleotide ribosomal RNA is filed under the name uncultured earthworm cast bacterium. RNAcentral describes it as "bacterial SSU rRNA". It matches the Rfam family "Bacterial small subunit ribosomal RNA", at positions 35 to 794 of the family's 1533-position model. The record is from RNAcentral.
GCUGGCGGCGCGCCUAACACAUGCAAGUCGAACGAGAAAGUGGAGCAAUCCAUGAGUACAGUGGCGUACGGGUGAGUAACACGUGGGUGAUCUACCUCUUAGUGAGGAAUAACCCUGGGAAACCGGGGCUAAUACCGCAUAAGCCUUAGCAGGGAAAGUCGAAAGACGCUGAGAGAGAAGCCCGCGGCCGAUUAGCUAGUUGGUGAGGUAAAAGCCCACCAAGGCAGAGAUCGGUAGCCGGCCUGAGAGGGCACACGGCCACACUGGCACUGAAACACGGGCCAGACUCCUACGGGAGGCAGCAGUGGGGAAUCUUGCACAAUGGGGGAAACCCUGAUGCAGCGACGCCGCGUGAGCGAUGAAGCCCUUCGGGGUGUAAAGCUCUUUCGUCAGGGAAGAUAGUGACGGUACCUGGAGAAGCAGCUGCGGCUAACUACGUGCCAGCAGCCGCGGUAAUACGUAGGCAGCAAGCGUUGUUCGGAGUUACUGGGCGUAAAGGGUGUGUAGGCGGUUCUUUAAGUUUGGUGUGAAAUCUCCCGGCUCAACCGGGAGGGUGCGCCGAAUACUGAGGGACUAGAGUGCGGGAGAGGAAAGUGGAAUUCCUGGUGUAGCGGUGAAAUGCGUAGAUAUCAGGAGGAACACCGGUGGUGUAGACGGCUUUCUGGACCGUAACUGACGCUGAAACACGAAAGCGUGGGUAGCAAACAGGAUUAGAUACCCUGGUAGU